UAGGGAAUCUUCCACAAUGGACGCAAGUCUGAUGGAGCAACGCCGCGUGAGUGAAGAAGGUUUUCGGAUCGUAAAGCUCUGUUGUUGGUGAAGAAGGAUAGAGGUAGUAACUGGCCUUUAUUUGACGGUAAUCAACCAGAAAGUCACGGCUAACUACGUGCCAGCAGCCGCGGUAAUACGUAGGUGGCAAGCGUUGUCCGGAUUUAUUGGGCGUAAAGCGAGCGCAGGCGGAAGAAUAAGUCUGAUGUGAAAGCCCUCGGCUUAACCGAGGAACUGCAUCGGAAACUGUUUUUCUUGAGUGCAGAAGAGGAGAGUGGAAUUCCAUGUGUAGCGGUGGAAUGCGUAGAUAUAUGGAAGAACACCUGUGGCGAAGGCGACUCUCUGGUCUGCAACUGACGCUGAGGCUCGAAAGCAUGGGUAGCGAACAGG
RNAcentral lists this ribosomal RNA (429 nucleotides) under bacterium. RNAcentral describes it as "partial 16S ribosomal RNA". It matches the Rfam family "Bacterial small subunit ribosomal RNA", at positions 355 to 776 of the family's 1533-position model. The record is from RNAcentral.